RNAcentral lists this unclassified non-coding RNA (232 nucleotides) under Hevea brasiliensis (rubber tree). The record is from RNAcentral. Lineage: Eukaryota; Viridiplantae; Streptophyta; Magnoliopsida; Malpighiales; Euphorbiaceae.
GAAUUUUAUUAUUAUUAGGUAGGGGUGGCCACAGUCUGGUUUCGAACCGGAAUUGGCUCGGUCAAAACCGGACCGAAAUCAAAAUCGGCUUCAAAUCGGAUCGAAACUGCCCUUUUGCGAUUUGGUUUAGAUUUAUAUUUUUUUAGGAACUCUGAAUUAGUGAUUCAGAACCGGAUUGAACUGACGAUUUCAAACCGGAUUCAACCGACGAUUUAAAUAUAAAAAAAUUCAA